This 418-nucleotide ribosomal RNA is filed under the name uncultured bacterium. RNAcentral's name for it is "bacterial SSU rRNA". It matches the Rfam family "Bacterial small subunit ribosomal RNA", at positions 9 to 420 of the family's 1533-position model. The record is from RNAcentral.
GAGUUUGAUCGUGGCUCAGGAUGAACGCUAGCUACAGGCCUAACACAUGCAAGUCGAGGGGCAUCGGGAGGGAAGCUUGCUUCCCUUGCCGGCGACCGGCGCACGGGUGAGUAACGCGUAUCGAACCUGCCCCAUACCCGGGGAUAGCCUUGCGAAAGUAAGAUUAAUACCCGAUGGUUUCCUUUUAUCUCCUGAUAGAGGGAAUAAAGAAUUUCGGUAUGGGAUGGCGAUGCGUCCGAUUAGCUAGUUGGCGGGGUAACGCCCACCAAGGCGACGAUCGGUAGGGGUUCUGAGAGGAAGGUCCCCCACAUUGGAACUGAGACACGGUCCAAACUCCUACGGGAGGCAGCAGUGAGGAAUAUUGGUCAAUGGGCGGAAGCCUGAACCAGCCAAGUAGCGUGAAGGAUGACUGCCCUAU